CGCUGGCUGAGACAUCACAGGCUCAUCAACUUGGGGGAUUUUUGUGAGUCUGAGAGGUAAGCGCCGCGGCCUGUCUUUCCGGACCUGCCCUUCGCCUUGUCUGCUUUGCCUGCUGACCCCGGGCCCUGUACCUUCAGAUCAGUAACCUCGGUGCGCUCGGGUGCUGUGGCCUGUGGCUGGAUUGCCUGUGACGUCCUGCCAGCCUGCCGACCGACUGGCCUACGGCGCCGGCAAGAUGAAGCUGUCCCUGGUGGCUGCGGUGCUGCUG
Molecule: non-coding RNA, 268 nt
Filed under: Mustela putorius furo (domestic ferret)
Lineage: Eukaryota; Metazoa; Chordata; Mammalia; Carnivora; Mustelidae
Description: bip internal ribosome entry site (IRES)
Rfam family: bip internal ribosome entry site (IRES)
About the family: This family represents the bip internal ribosome entry site (IRES).
Source: Rfam by way of RNAcentral